Astatotilapia calliptera (eastern happy) is the source of this 2605-nucleotide long non-coding RNA. The record is from Ensembl. Lineage: Eukaryota; Metazoa; Chordata; Actinopteri; Cichliformes; Cichlidae.
GUUCCAAUCUCUGCGUAAAUGUGAGGCUUUACUGUAUGUUUGCUUAUCUGUCCAGCCAUCCCAUCUAUUCAAACAGCUUUCCUUUUAUUUAAAGCUGUGUGCUGGCUGGGCUUUUUAUCCCUAGGACUUUUUCUGUUAUUUUGGGACCAGAUGGCGAGGGGCACGGAAGCGCCUCUUUUGUCUGGGUGCUUCUUUUGAAAAGAGGUUGUCGUUCCCUAAUGUAAUCAGCAGCACCGGAAGGGUCCAUUUUGGGCCGUGAAAGAAGACAAUUGGGUCUGGACACCUCUAGCUUACAGAAAUGUAGAGUUCAUCUCUCGACCCUGCCCCCUUUGACCAAGGCCCUGGCAUGAAGGAUGCUGAUCUUUGAUCAGUGGAGGGUGGAGGUGCUGAUCCGACCUCAUGAGGGCCAAAGGGCACCCCCCUCCACCCCGUUGCCCUGUUUACCCUGUACUUGGCUACUGCUGACACCUCCUUCCGGAAGAAGCCAGGGGGUAGUGGGUUGGGUUGGGCAUGGUGCGGGGGUGUACCAUGACCUGUCUAGACACAGUUGUUGUUUGUUGCCCUGGUGUUGCCAAGGGGGACACGGUGAACUUUGACCUCAACUGUAGUUGGUUAGGAGCUACUUUGGUCAUCCAAGGAAGACAUUUUUUUUUCUUUUUAAUUUCAGGGUUGGAGGUGGGGAAAUGAGGCGGGGUAUGGAUGUGACCUACAUAAUGCGCAAUCUGCUUUCAGAAACCACAGGCAUGAAUUUGUUGGCAAAACUGGUUUUAUUUUUUUAUUCAUUUAAUUAUUUGCUAGUUAUAUUAUAUGAUAAUUUCAGUUGGGUCACAAAAUGGAAGACUUGUAUUGUGAUUUUGCUGUUUACUGGAUGCACUUUUGGAUGUUUUCUUCAUCAUACACAGACUGGCAGCUUCUUCUUAACAGCUCUAUUGCAAGGCACUCUACAUCCAAACUGCAGUGUGGAAAAUUUAAAGGUAAAUGUCCAAAUUUUUAUUUUUAGCUCUUCCUACUUUCGCUGAAUGACAGUUUAUUAUGAUCCUCUUGGUGUGAAUGUGUUUAUUUCCUUUCCACAGUGCAGGGAGCUAGCUGGUGUACUAGGAGGAAGAUGUCAUGCUAAGGAUGGGUUUUGGUGAUGAUGUUGCUACUGUUGAUGCAGCAUCGAGCUCUCACUUUGUGCCUCUGUCAGCUAUGAUCCGUAACCACAAAGUGAGUGACAGGCCAGUCCCUGGGGAAAGCAAGGGGGCCUGAGGUGAGUCAGAUGUAUCCUUGACCCUGUCUGGCUGUGUGUCAGCGAGCAACACAAACUCUGUAUAAAAAAAAAAGAAAAAGAAAAAAAAAAAGGCCAAAACUGGCAUGACUGUACAUUGUACAUCUUUAUUUAGUAUGUAGAAGAAGAAUGUAGGAGAAACAGAACCAACCUGAGUUUUUCUGUUAAGUGGAUCCGUUUUUUUGUUGUUGCUAGACUCAUUUUGAAAUUAUAAUGAAGCGCACAUUACAAAUUGAUACCUUUGAUACCUUUGUGUGCAUUUCUCUUCCACCAGAGUGCUGAUGUUUUAAUCUUGGCUUUGUGAUGUUGUCACAGACCUGUUUUAGACAAACUCAGCACAAAUUUUGUAUACACUGUUUACUCCAGUGCAUUACAUAUGGCUUAAAUAACACAUUCAUGCAAGGAAACAUAAAUCUGUUCAUUACUGAGGGUAAAUUUUACUCAGGUUUGAAGUUGCAAAGUGGCAUAUUCACUCAAAUUAGCAUUUUGAUUUUUUUCACUUAAAAUAACUGAAGCUGAUGAUUGAGAAAAUCUUUAUUAAUAUAGCUGUUGUACAGGAUAUGUGGUCAAAUGGUAGAAAAAUGUUCCACUGUUAAUCAGCUGCAGCACUAGGUGUUGCAAUACUUAAAGAUGGUGUAACGUUUGUACACGAUGGACUCAAAAUGAGGGGCCUGGAAAAUGUUAUCCACAUCUCAGGAUUUCUUAUUAGAGCAAAUACCUGAUCAGUUUGAGAAGGUGUCCAAUUGAGAAGAAAUUUUUGAAUUUAUUGAAUUGCGAUAAAAUAUCUGUUUUAUUUCUGGCCUUUUUUUGUUAUAUUCAUGUACUGACAAAUUUAAAAAUAUAUAGAUUUUAGACUUUUAAUCAGAUAAAACUGUUAAUCUGAUGAUAAUGUUUAAGCAUUUUGUGUUUGGGGAUUUUGUGUAUCUAAUGUCUGAACAAUAAAUGAUCAAUGCAAAAUUUAAAGAAUAUAAUGAUGAUUAGUGAAAAUAAUUUUUGUAGUUGCUGCUUUUAGGUGUAAAUGUACAUUCAGAAAUUGAUAUCUGCAGAUGUUCCAAAAGAAAACAUUGUGUUUUGUGCCAUGCAAGAUAUUUGCUUCCACUUGCCAAAAAAGAUGACCCAUAAGACAUAUUAGGAAAUUAUUUUAAAAGUUGGUGUUUUUUUUUUUUAGUUCUAAAGUGCUUAUUGUAAUAUUUUGUAGCAGCAAUCAAAGACAAGAGUUCAUCCAAAGCCGUAGUCAGUGUUACACCAGACGCAUUCUGCAAAAGACAUGAUUCAACUUAAGGUGCAACUGCAAGAAAUGAUGUAUUUAUGUUAAAUUAAAUGUAAGAUAACUAUGAC